UCGCCCAUGAAGGGUUCCGUAGCAGCAAGUAACAUAAUAAAAUUGCGGUUUACGAUUUAUGACGUAUUAAAAAAAACUACUUACUAGAUCUCGUUCAAACCAAUUUUCGGUGGAAGUUUGCAUGGUAAUGUACAUCAUAUAUUUUUUUUAGUUUUAUCAUUCUCUUAUUUUAGAAGUUUAGAAGUUACAGGCACAUUUUACCAUUUUGGAAGUGCCUCUCGCGCAAAAUAUUCAGUUUAGAAAAAAAAUAUAUUAGAAACCUCAAUAUCAUUUUUUAUGACCUAUCCAUAGAUACCCCACACGUAUGGGUUUGAUGAAAAAACCAUUUUUGAGUUUCAGUUCUAAGUAUGGGGAACCCCCAAAAUUUAUUAAUAAAACUCAAAAAUUUUUUUUUCAUCAAAGUCAUACGUGUGGGGUAUCUAUGGAUAGGUCUUCAAAAAUGAUAUUGAGGUUUCUAAUAUCAUUUUUUUCUAUACUGAAUAGUUUGCGCGAGAGACACUUCCAAAGUAGUAAAAUGUGUGUCCCCCCCCUGUAACUUCUAAAAUAAGAGAAUAUAAAACUAAAAAAAAUAUAUGAUGUACAUUACCAUGCAAACUUCCACCGAAAAUUGGUUUGAACGAGAUCUACUAAGUAGUUUUUUCUAAUACGUCGUAAA
This is a long non-coding RNA of Cydia splendana, 655 nucleotides long. RefSeq lists it as uncharacterized. The transcript has 2 exons. The record is from RefSeq and is a predicted model, not a curated record. NCBI's taxonomy places the organism in Eukaryota, Metazoa, Arthropoda, Insecta, Lepidoptera, Tortricidae.